Molecule: ribosomal RNA, 945 nt
Filed under: Dothiorella iberica
Lineage: Eukaryota; Fungi; Ascomycota; Dothideomycetes; Botryosphaeriales; Botryosphaeriaceae
Description: eukaryotic LSU rRNA
Rfam family: Eukaryotic large subunit ribosomal RNA
Source: RNAcentral
GUAGGGAUACCCGCUGAACUUAAGCAUAUCAAUAAGCGGAGGAAAAGAAACCAACUGGGAUUGCCUUAGUAACGGCGAGUGAAGCGGCAAUAGCUCAAAUUUGAAAGCUGGCCCCUUUGGGGUCCGCGUUGUAAUUUGUAGAGGAUGAUUCGGCGAGGGCUCCCGUCUAAGUCCCCUGGAACGGGGCGUCAUAGAGGGUGAGAAUCCCGUAUGUGAUGGGUUGCCUUAGCCAUGUGAAUCUCCUUCGACGAGUCGAGUUGUUUGGGAAUGCAGCUCUAAAUGGGAGGUAAAUUUCUUCUAAAGCUAAAUACCGGCCAGAGACCGAUAGCGCACAAGUAGAGUGAUCGAAAGAUGAAAAGCACUUUGGAAAGAGAGUUAAAAAGUACGUGAAAUUGUUGAAAGGGAAGCGCUUGCAGCCAGACUUGUCCGCAGUUGCUCAGCCGGUCUCCUGACCGGCGUACUCUUCUGCGGCCAGGCCAGCAUCAGUUCGGGCGGUCGGAUAAAGACCUCGGGAAUGUAGCUCCUCUCGGGGAGUGUUAUAGCCCGGGGUGGAAUGCGGCCAGCCUGGACUGAGGAUCUCGCUUCGGCUAGGAUGCUGGCGUAAUGGCUGUAAGCGGCCCGUCUUGAAACACGGACCAAGGAGUCUAACAUCUAUGCGAGUGUUUGGGUGUCAAACCCAUACGCGUAAUGAAAGUGAACGGAGGUGGGAACCCUCACGGGUGCACCAUCGACCGAUCCUGAUGUCUUCGGAUGGAUUUGAGUAUGAGCAUAGCUGUUGGGACCCGAAAGAUGGUGAACUAUGCCUGAAUAGGGUGAAGCCAGAGGAAACUCUGGUGGAGGCUCGCAGCGGUUCUGACGUGCAAAUCGAUCGUCAAAUUUGGGUAUAGGGGCGAAAGACUAAUCGAACCAUCUAGUAGCUGGUUCCUGCCGAAGUUUCCCUCAGGA